Molecule: RNA transcript, 4277 nt
Organism: Cucumis melo (muskmelon)
Lineage: Eukaryota; Viridiplantae; Streptophyta; Magnoliopsida; Cucurbitales; Cucurbitaceae
Gene name: putative disease resistance protein RGA1
Exons: 2
Source: RefSeq, a predicted model, not a curated record
ACUUUCAUCCAUGGCUGAAUCUAUUAUCUACGCCGUUGCUGGAAACAUGAUAACCAAAAUGGGCUCUCUCGCACUCCGAGAGCUUGGAUUGUCAUGGAGAAUCAAUGAUGAGCUCGACAAACUCCAAGACACUCUUUCUGCCAUUAGAGCCGUGCUUCUCGAUGCUGAGGAGCAGCAGUCCAAGAGCCACGCAGUCAAGGAUUGGAUUUCAAAGCUUAAAGAUGUUUUCUAUGACAUUGACGACUUGGUUGAUGAGCUCUCUUAUGAAACCUUGAAAAAGCAAGUUCUUACUGAAAGUAGAAGAACCACCAAACAUGUACGUAUCUUCUUCUCUAAAUUUCAUCUGAUUUCAUUUGGUCUCAAAAUGGGUCAACAAAUUAAAGAAGUUAGGGAGAAACUAAAUGCUAUUGCUGAUGAUAAAGAUAAACUCCACCUUUCCAUGCGUAUGGGGGAGAUACAAGGCGAUGAGUUGAGAAAGAUACGAGAGACUUCAUCUUUUAUUCCUGAGGGAGAAGUGAUUGGUAGGGAUGACGACAAGAAAGUUAUUAUAGAUUUUCUAUUGGAUACCAAAACCAAAAAGGAUAACGUUGAAGUGAUUUCCAUAGUUGGUAUGGGAGGAUUAGGAAAGACCGCACUUGCUCAAUCUGUCUAUAAUGAUGAGAAGAUAAACAAACAUUUUCAAUUGAAAUUAUGGGUCUGUAUUUCUGAAGAAUUUAAUGUCAGAACAAUUGUUGGAAAUAUAAUAGAGUUAUUCGAGGAAAAGAAACUUGAGCCCCUCCAAUUGGAUAAAUUACAAAGUAUGCUUCGAGAGAAAAUUAAUGGAAAAAGGUACUUGUUGGUCAUGGAUGAUGUGUGGAAUGAAAGCCAUGAGAAGUGGAUUGAUCUAAAAAGAUAUCUAAUGGGUGGUGCAAUGGGAAGUAGAAUUUUGAUCACAACACGUAGCCAACAAGUUGCACAGACAUCUGACACAGUUUCAUUUCAUCAUUUAAAAGAACUCGACAAUCACAACUCUUGGGUGUUGUUUAGAAAAAUGGCAUUUUUAAACGAAGAAGAAGAGAUCGAGAAUUCAAAUUUGGUCAAAAUCGGUAAGGAGAUUGUAGCAAAGUUGAAAGGUUCUCCUCUUGGAAUAAGAGUAGUUGGCCGUUUGCUAUAUUUCAAAAACACGGAAAAGGAUUGGUUGUCAUUCAAGGACAAUAAUGAACUUGGCACAACUUUACAACAAGAAAAUCAGAUUCAACCAAUACUGAAGAUUAGUUUUGACCACCUUCCAUCUAACUUAAAGCAAUGUUUUAUGUAUUGUGCUUUGUUUCCUAAAGAUUAUGAGUUUUGGAAGGAUGAAUUGGUAAAACUAUGGAUGGCACAAGGUUUCAUUCAACCACAUGGUAAGAAGGCAAUUGAAGAUGUUGGGGAUGAUUAUUUUAAAGAGUUAGCGGGGAGGUCGUUCUUUCAAGACAUAAGAAAAAAUAAAUGGGGAGACAUCAAGAAGUGUAAGAUGCAUGAUUUGAUACAUGAUCUUGCGUGUUCGAUGGUAGAAAAUGAAUGUGUGGUUGUAAGUGAUGGUGUUGGGUCUAUUGACAAAAGGACUCGACAUGUCUCAUUUUUCUAUCGCCGAAGGCAAAUGUCGAGGGAACUAGUACCUAGAUUGUUCACUAAGGCAAAGAAGUUCAGAACAUUGAGUUUGAAUUCAGCUUCUAUUUCUUUUCUGAAAACAAUGUAUCGCAUUAAUCUUUUUCGAUUACGAACAUUGAAUUUGAAAUACUGUUGUCAUCCUCCUAAAUUUAUUGAUAAGUUGAAACAUUUGAGAUAUCUUAAUCUUUCUCACUUGCGUAUAGAUUUCCUUCCAAAGUUUAUUACCAAAUUGUAUAAUUUGGAAACACUUAUCCUUCGCUACUGCAAAUGGCUAAGAGAAUUGCCAAAAGAUAUUAGCAAUUUGAUGAACCUUAGGUAUCUUGAUCUACAUGGAUGCUUCCGUUUGACUCGCAUGCCAAAAGGGCUAGGUGAGAUGAGUAGCCUUCAGACAAUGAAUUUGUUUGUAUUAGGAAAAGAUAAAGGUGGCAAUUUAAGUGAAUUGAAUGAACUUAAAAGCUUGAGAGGAUCGUUAUGUAUUCGAGGAUUACAAUUUUGCACAACUAUUGAUAUAGAAAAUGUGAAAUAUUUUGAAGAAAAGUCUGAAAUUCGAAAGUUGAAAUUACAUUGGGACACAGACAAGAUGAAGCCAAAAAUUGAUGAUGCCUCAUAUGCUGAAGAUGAGAGGAUUUUGGAGUGCUUAAAACCACAUUCAAAUGUUUGCAAAAUGAGUAUAAAAGGAUAUAGAGGUAUAAAGUUAUGUGAUUGGGUGUCUCCUGAUUAUUUCCUGGGUGGUCUGGUUAGCAUAGAGCUUUGUCAUUGUGAAAAAUUGGAGCAUCUCCCUCAAUUUGAUCAAUUUCCAUGUCUCAAGAAUCUUGAUCUUGAGGACUUAUCCAAUAUCGAAUACAUUGAUGAUAGCAAUUCUGUUUCUUCAUCAACAACUUUUUUUCCAUCUCUUGAGAAACUAAGGAUUAAGAAGAUGCCUAAGUUGAAAGGGUGGUGGAGGAGGGGGGAAAUCCCAUCGAAUUACUCUGCUCAAUACACUGCCUCUCUUCCAACAGCAUUACAUCAGCUUUCACAAUUAUGGAUUUUGGAUUGUCCUCAGCUGGCUUUUAUUCCACAGCAUCCACCUUUGCAAUCAUUGGCAAUAGGGGGUGUUGGUUUGAAAGUUUUUGAUAUGGUAAUAAGAAUGGCUACAAACCUUGCUGCGGAUUCUUCUUCUUCUUCAACUCUGUCUAAAUUAUCUACUCUUGAGAUUGAAAAUAUUGAUAUCAAGUUCCUGCCAGAAGCGUUAAACUGCAAUAUGAAAGAUCUUCAGGUGCUUAGCAUUCGAAGUUGCAAAUAUUUACAAAUGUCUUCUUCCCGUCUCGUGUAUGAGGAAGAAGAUAGGCUAGUGUACUGGAAAGAACUUAGCAAUCUCCGCCAUCUUUGUUUUUGGGACAUUCCGAAAUUGGAGUAUUUGCCAAAGGGUUUGGAAUAUAUGACAGCUCUUGAAUCUUUAUAUCUACAAGAAUGUGGAAAUUUAGUGAGUAUUGAAGGGAUCGGCCAACUCAGUUCACUAUCAGACUUGAUUAUUUGCAAUUGUCCCAAUUUAACUUCAUUGCCGGAAGGAGUCAGCGGCCUGACUUCAUUGUCCUAUUUGUCGAUUAGAGAUUGUCCUAAUUUAAGGUCGUUGCCGGAAGGACUUAGCCAAAUCCGCUCCUUAAAAGGAUCAUUACAUGUGUCAAAAUGCCCCAAAUUGAGGAAGAGUUGGAAGAAGCAAAACAAAUACAGAAGGUUGAAGAAGAUGUUUAACUUGGACAACAAACAAACAGGUGAAGAUGAUCGCACUGAAAUCAUCUUUGAAAAGCCUCAACGUAGGUAUGCACAACCAUUUCUAUUCAUCACUUUCUUUGAUAAACGAUUGUUUCCAUAUGAUAAAACUUUUAACUUUCGAUCCUCUCAUGUCAAUUUAAUUCUCUACUCUCUCUUUCCGUGAUGAUUUUAAAAAAGGAUAAUCAGUAAAGAUUAGAAAGCUCUCAUUUCUCACUCUUAAUUACUGAUGGAUUGUGUUCAGCCCUGACAGCUUUUACUGUCAUUACAAACAUAAAUUACAUUAUAUUGGUUUUAAGAGCUGCAAAAACCAGAAGGAAUAGAAGGCAAGAAAUAAGAGUGUUUUUGCACUAAUUGCUGCUAAAUAAAGGGAGGAGGAAGGUGAUUUCCUGAAGGCACAGAUAAGUUCUAAGAGACCUUUUGUUUUGCUUUUCCUUUCAAGUAAUGUUUUUCAAAGAGACGACUUAGUUAAUAUCCUCAAUUGAUAUGUAUGUGUCGUGUAUCUUUCUAUUAUUAUUAUUGACAAUGGAAUUUUGACUAUGGUCAUGUGAUUUUUUACUCUUCAAUUUGGAGAGGUUAAGUUGUUGGUGUUAUGUGUUAGUGUAUAUUCUUUUUGGUUGCUUGACUCCUAAAAGAUAUUUAAACGAGAAAGAGAUAAUCUAAUUCGUAGCCAAAUUUGGUUUAGCUCAUCCAAGAGGUCCCAUUCCGAUGAAAAACCAACCUGCAAAGCAUUGACUGAGAAGAAAUAACAAUUCAUUCAUACAGUCUUAUCUCUAAUUUUUUUUUUGUUCUCGAAAUUAAACUCACACAAACCCUAUCUUAAUUUGUAAUAUAUAUAAUCUUUCAAUUUCUACCUUUUAUUAUUAUUAUUAUUUAAAUAUUACUCCACGUAUAUGUUA